Non-coding RNA from Nematostella vectensis (starlet sea anemone), 71 nucleotides. The record is from Rfam. NCBI's taxonomy places the organism in Eukaryota, Metazoa, Cnidaria, Anthozoa, Actiniaria, Edwardsiidae.
GCACUGGUGGUUCAGUGGUAGAAUUCUCGCCGGCCACGCGGAAGGCCCGGGUUCGAUUCCCGGCCAGUGCA